AGUGAACGCUGGCGGUAGGCCUAACACAUGCAAGUCGAACGGCAGCACAGUAAGAGCUUGCUCUUACGGGUGGCGAGUGGCGGACGGGUGAGGAAUACAUCGGAAUCUACUUUUUCGUGGGGGAUAACGUAGGGAAACUUACGCUAAUACCGCAUACGACCUACGGGUGAAAGCAGGGGAUCUUCGGACCUUGCGCGAUUGAAUGAGCCGAUGUCGGAUUAGCUAGUUGGCGGGGUAAAGGCCCACCAAGGCGACGAUCCGUAGCUGGUCUGGGAGGAUGAUCAGCCACACUGGAACUGAGACACGGUCCAGACUCCUACGGGAGGCAGCAGUGGGGAAUAUUGGACAAUGGGCGCAAGCCUGAUCCAGCCAUACCGCGUGGGUGAAGAAGGCCUUCGGGUUGUAAAGCCCUUUUGUUGGGAAAAAAAAGCAGCAGGUUAAUACCCCGCUGUUCUGACGGUACCCAAAGAAUAAGCACCGGCUAACUUCGUG
RNAcentral lists this ribosomal RNA (492 nucleotides) under uncultured bacterium. Its description in RNAcentral is "partial 16S ribosomal RNA". It matches the Rfam family "Bacterial small subunit ribosomal RNA", at positions 29 to 507 of the family's 1533-position model. The record is from RNAcentral.